AUUAGGCAUUUUUUUUUUAAAUUUAUUUAGUUUACUUUCUUUGAAGUUUUCAAGUGGAAUGGCCUAUUGGAAAAAAGAAAGUAGAAUGGCCUAGCUAUAGGUUUGUUGUUUAUGUGUAGUUUUAGGCUUAGCUUUACGACGAAUGAAGAGUCAAAAGUUGGAAAAUAUGGCAUUGACUUGAGUGGCCAAUUAUUUAAGAAAGCUUUCUCUUUACAUCAAGGUUGACUGUUGACCCAGCUUCAUAUGGAGGCCGUUUGCGCUAUCUUUCAAAGGGAGGAAAGAAAAUGAUGGGAAUAAAUUAAAAAAAUAAUAA
RNAcentral lists this unclassified non-coding RNA (313 nucleotides) under Hevea brasiliensis (rubber tree). Lineage: Eukaryota; Viridiplantae; Streptophyta; Magnoliopsida; Malpighiales; Euphorbiaceae. The record is from RNAcentral.